Molecule: long non-coding RNA, 484 nt
Filed under: Fukomys damarensis (Damara mole-rat)
Lineage: Eukaryota; Metazoa; Chordata; Mammalia; Rodentia; Bathyergidae
Description: lncRNA (ENSFDAG00000025447.1)
Source: RNAcentral
AGACUCCAGACCAGGGGGCAGAAAACCUGGGCUCGAGUUGUGAGACUGCCACAAACUGGCCAUGUGGCUUCCAGCUAGUGGCUUACCAUCACAAGACGGGACAGGGCUUCAUUUCUGAAACGCCCAGAAGGAACUGCCCAGUCUGCAGACUUCAGCAAGGCCGUGCUGGUGGAGUAAGGACAAAGCAAGCCACAUUUGCACAGACACGGAGCCACCGAGCAGUCUCUUUCCUUCAGAGAUUUCGUGGAACCCUCCUGCUUCCUUGCCGACGUCUGUACCUGGUGGACCAGCAGGCACAGUUCAGGGGCGACACUCUCUGCAGGGAAGACUCUAAGGCCUUCCCUACACCCUCCUCGGUUUUCUCCAUCUAUCUGUGAGUUCUGUACACCUCCUCUGCUCCCAGCCCAGAAGCAGCCACUUCAGCGGGUCAGUGGGAAGCUCCUCGGACCUCAGGACUUUGCCGACAGCAUCCCUUCCUUACACC